Apis laboriosa (Himalayan honeybee) is the source of this 1231-nucleotide long non-coding RNA. RefSeq lists it as uncharacterized. The record is from RefSeq and is a predicted model, not a curated record. Lineage: Eukaryota; Metazoa; Arthropoda; Insecta; Hymenoptera; Apidae. The transcript is spliced from 4 exons.
AGUAUGAUGAAUAUAUACUAGAUAAGUAUACAUAUUUUGAUACAGUCAGACUGAUGAUAUCAGUAUGUUUCUAUUUACAUCACACACUUGUAGUUAUGAUAAUAAUAUGAUGUGUAAUCAGUAAAAAAAGAAAUUAAGAUAAUAGACAAGUGCAAAUUGGAUUUAAUGAACAACUAGAUUUAAGUUGGCAAUGGUUACUUGACAGCUAGAAUAGGAAAGGUCGUACAACCGUAAGUGCAGCUUCCGGCAUUGAAAUCAUUAGGAAUUUAUGCUCAAGAUGUAUCUAUAUAGUAUAAACGUAAACAAUUGUUAAAUCUUUUGUUUGAGUUACUUAUAGAUUGUUUUUUACGCGAACAAUAACUAAGAUUGGAUGAAACGUUUCUUGAUCCACUGCUUGUAUGAUGUGCUUGUAUAUUGGAAAUUAUUGGGAAUAGGAUAUUCAGAUGGUAACUCUGCCAUGUUACAAAACAGAGACCAACAAAGAACUUUUCUUACUCUAGCAUCUCACGAUGUCGACGACAUUCAUCCGACCAGCGUAUAACGUAUAGUGACCAUACGGCAUACGUUGCCGUUUCUUCCGUUUGUUCUUUUCAAUAUGUUACAUCUCGUUGUCUCUUUUUGGCUUUUUAUGUAUCUAAGAACGUGCCUCGACCAAUAAUACAAUGCACGUGCGUUCAUUCAUAGAACGCUAACGUAGUUUCAGAGUACCGUGUACGGUUUAGUCGUAAUCAAGACGCGGACACCAUGAGUGGCAGCCUAUAAAUGAAUGACACGUAUACAUAGCAUACGGUCAUACUCAUGACCGUAUCAUAUUGUCAAUUGUUUGACUGACAUCCCAUUUACUCUUAUAUGUAUAUAUACGAGUAGAAAUGGCUUUAAUAUCUGUAAAAUAAUUGAUUUUAUUUCACAUUAAAAUUUUAUUAAUGCAUGCUUACAUUAAUUUUUUUUAUAUUUUAUGUUUUAGGAAAAUUUUUAUUCUAAAAUUUUAUUAAACUAGAAUAUAGAAAAUUAAGAAUUGACAAAGAUUCAGAACAUAUCGUUAUUGAAAUGAAAAAAAAUAUUUGCGGAUUAUGAAAUACAAUCUAUAUCACAAGGUUAUUCUGAGGAUACACACAAGAAAUAUAUAGCAUUUAAAAUCCAUAUAUACAUAUGUAUAUAUUUAAUUAUGAAUAACACAUAAUCGAAUAAAAUAUUACAAAGAUAAGGAAUUUAUAUUUUCAUUUUUAACAAU